GGUUCCAUAGUGUAGCGGUUAGCAUGUCUGCUUUACACGCAGAAGGUCCUGGGUUCGCGCCCCAGUGGAGCCA
RNAcentral lists this transfer RNA (73 nucleotides) under Pteropus alecto (black flying fox). It matches the Rfam family "tRNA". Rfam says of the family: Transfer RNA (tRNA) molecules are approximately 80 nucleotides in length. Their secondary structure includes four short double-helical elements and three loops (D, anti-codon, and T loops). The record is from Rfam by way of RNAcentral. Lineage: Eukaryota; Metazoa; Chordata; Mammalia; Chiroptera; Pteropodidae. RNAcentral also lists the same sequence under 1 other name.